GUAAGGAAUAUUGCUCAAUGGGCGAAAGCCUGAAGCAGCAACGCCGCGUGCACGAUGAAGGCCUUCGGGUCGUAAAGUGCUUUUAGGGGAGAUGAGGAAGGACAGUAUCCCCGGAAUAAGGUACGGCUAACUACGUGCCAGCAGCCGCGGUAAAACGUAGGUACCGAGCGUUAUCCGGAUUCACUGGGCGUAAAGCGCGUGCAGGUGGUUUGGUAAGUCGGGCAUGAAAACUCUUGGCUCAACUAAGAGACGCUGUCCGAUACUGUCGAACUUGAGGGUGUGAGAGGGAGGUGGAAUUCCGCAUGUAGUGGUGAAAUGCGUAGAUAUGCGGAGGAACACCAGUGGCGAAGGCGGCCUCCUGGCACACUCCUGACACUCAGACGCGAAAGCUAGGGGAGCGAACGGGAUUAGAAACCCUGGUAGUCC
RNAcentral lists this ribosomal RNA (426 nucleotides) under uncultured bacterium. RNAcentral's name for it is "bacterial SSU rRNA". It matches the Rfam family "Bacterial small subunit ribosomal RNA", at positions 354 to 796 of the family's 1533-position model. The record is from RNAcentral.